CAGGACGGGUUGGUGUAUAAUACACUCACUACCAUGGAAUAUCCUCCGCAAGCAUUCGUGUUGAGGUUCCGGUCUCGCGCAAUGGAUGCCUGUGAACCAUGUCAGGCGGGGAACCGAGCAGCAUUAAGCGGGACAACAUGUGCCGCGAGGGCGCCGGUUCGGAGCGGAUGCUUGCGGAGAAUCUUCCAUGGUCUUUCUA
Molecule: signal recognition particle RNA, 199 nt
Filed under: Oscillospiraceae bacterium
Lineage: Bacteria; Bacillati; Bacillota; Clostridia; Eubacteriales; Oscillospiraceae
Description: signal recognition particle sRNA large type
Rfam family: Bacterial large signal recognition particle RNA (bases 30-192)
About the family: The signal recognition particle (SRP) is a universally conserved ribonucleoprotein involved in the co-translational targeting of proteins to membranes. Archaeal SRP consists of a 7S RNA and homologues of the eukaryotic SRP19 and SRP54 proteins. In most bacteria, the SRP consists of a 4.5S RNA and the Ffh protein (a homologue of the eukaryotic SRP54 protein).
Source: RNAcentral